Molecule: ribosomal RNA, 504 nt
Filed under: uncultured bacterium
Lineage: Bacteria
Description: partial 16S ribosomal RNA
Rfam family: Bacterial small subunit ribosomal RNA
Source: RNAcentral
ACGAACGCUGGCGGCGUGCCUAAUCCAUGCCAGUAGAACGCACAGUUUAUACCGUAGCUUGCUACACCAUAGACUGUGAGUUGCGAACGGGUGAGUAACGCGUAGGUAACCUGCCUGGUAGCGGGGGAUAACUAUUGGAAACGAUAGCUAAUACCGCAUAAUAUUGAUUAUUGCAUGAUAAUUGAUUGAAAGAUGCUAUUGCAUCACUACCAGAUGGACCUGCGUUGUAUUAGCUAGUAGGUGAGGUAACGGCUCACCUAGGCGACGAUACAUAGCCGACCUGAGAGGGUGAUCGGCCACACUGGGACUGAGACACGGCCCAGACUCCUACGGGAGGCAGCAGUAGGGAAUCUUCGGCAAUGGACGAAAGUCUGACCGAGCAACGCCGCGUGAGUGAAGAAGGUUUUCGGAUCGUAAAGCUCUGUUGUAAGAGAAGAACGGGUGUGAGAGUGGAAAGUUCACACUGUGACGGUAUCUUACCAGAAAGGGACGGCUAACUACGUG